Molecule: transfer RNA, 74 nt
Filed under: Thioploca sp.
Lineage: Bacteria; Pseudomonadati; Pseudomonadota; Gammaproteobacteria; Thiotrichales; Thiotrichaceae
Description: tRNA-Gly
Rfam family: tRNA
About the family: Transfer RNA (tRNA) molecules are approximately 80 nucleotides in length. Their secondary structure includes four short double-helical elements and three loops (D, anti-codon, and T loops).
Source: RNAcentral
GCGGAGUUGGCAUAUUGGUUGUGUCCCAGCCUUCCAAGCUGGUCAAACGAGUUCGAUUCUCGUACUCCGCUCCA